CAACAAAAAAAGCUGAAUCUAGAGUCUGCUCUAGAGCGGGGGAUUUUACUUCUGAUAUUGGGGUGAAUCGCUUCCAUGCGUAGGGCUAUACCUGCUGCCCGAAUCCGUCAACUAACCUCGUAAGCUAUGAAAGGUGAAGAA
RNAcentral lists this small RNA (141 nucleotides) under Desulfosporosinus acidiphilus. Its description in RNAcentral is "c-di-AMP sequence". It matches the Rfam family "c-di-AMP riboswitch aptamer (ydaO/yuaA leader)". Rfam says of the family: This family represents a conserved RNA structure found upstream of the ydaO and yuaA genes in Bacillus subtilis and related genes in other bacteria. The ydaO/yuaA element is thought to act as a genetic "off" switch for the ydaO and yuaA genes in its native state. Lineage: Bacteria; Bacillati; Bacillota; Clostridia; Eubacteriales; Desulfitobacteriaceae. The record is from RNAcentral.